AAGACUUUAAGUUAAAUAAACUAAUAUCCUUCAAAGUUAUAAUUAAAGUAAAAUAUCUCUUUAAGUCUUA
Molecule: transfer RNA, 70 nt
Filed under: Caliris sp. JZ-2017
Lineage: Eukaryota; Metazoa; Arthropoda; Insecta; Mantodea; Haaniidae
Also listed under: 1 other name
Description: tRNA-Trp
Source: RNAcentral